This 349-nucleotide unclassified non-coding RNA is filed under the name soil metagenome. RNAcentral describes it as "partial contains 5.8S ribosomal RNA, internal transcribed spacer 2, and large subunit ribosomal RNA". The stretch from base 5 to 121 matches the Rfam family "5.8S ribosomal RNA", at positions 38 to 154 of the family's 154-position model. The record is from RNAcentral.
GAUGGAAGAACGCAGCAAAAUGCGAUAAGUAAUGUGAAUUGCAGAAUUCAGUGAAUCAUCGAAUCUUUGAACGCACAUUGCGCCCGCUGGUAUUCCGGCGGGCAUGCCUGUUCGAGCGUCAUUUCAACCCUCAAGCCCCCGGGUUUGGUGUUGGGGAUCGGCUCUGCCCUUCUGGGCGGUGCCGCCCCCGAAAUACAUUGGCGGUCUCGCUGCAGCCUCCAUUGCGUAGUAGCUAACACCUCGCAACUGGAACGCGGCGCGGCCAUGCCGUAAAACCCCAACUUCUGAAUGUUGACCUCGGAUCAGGUAGGAAUACCCGCUGAACUUAAGCAUAUCAAUAAGCGGAGGA